CGUGGCGACGCGGAAUCUGAAGGAAGCUGGCGGCAAAUACUCGGCCUUACGAACAGGAACUGCAUACAAGGCUGCAGAUGGAGGACAAGGCUGCCAAACAAGCCGAAGUCCUAUAACUAUCCGAAUCCAUGUGAAGUAAAUGCAGAGGGCACAUGAGUUGAAAGCG
This 166-nucleotide non-coding RNA is filed under the name pig gut metagenome. The record is from RNAcentral.